This 28-nucleotide non-coding RNA is filed under the name Homo sapiens (human). The record is from RNAcentral. Lineage: Eukaryota; Metazoa; Chordata; Mammalia; Primates; Hominidae.
UGGGAUUACAGGCGUAAGCCACAGUGCC